UUAAAGUUAGUUAAAAAAAAUCAAUGAAAACUUCUUCUGACAUUUUGAUAGCGAUUCCACGGCUAAGCGAAAAACAUUUGACGUUUGACAAAAAACACGAAAUUUUCAUGACGUUUGCUCUCUUAUAUCUUUUUGUAUAGGAAAGCAAGCAACCUGAGGUUUAUUGCAUCAAUUAGUGUUACUCAACCUCUUUUUAACCAUUAAUGAAAAGUACUAUGCUUUAUAUGGCUUCACUUAUAUAUUAUUCAUAUCUUGAGACCACUUUUAAGAAAAAAUCUUGAAGCGGGAACGUUUUUUUAAAACGAAACUUUUGGAGGUAUUUUGUCUGGAUUGCUCAACUACAAGCUUGAUUCUUACAGUUUCUACUACUGUUUUUAGUCUGUAGAUUCUCUAAACUGUUUUUUUCAAAACAAAAAGAAAUAGUAAUCAACUAAACUUUUAGUCUAAAGUUCACAAAAUGGAAAUGUGCUGUGAACUUAACAAUCUACGUGAGAUGGUGGUUCAAUCUAUAAGUCAAGAAUGUGUUGUCGACAGUUCACAAAUCUCCAAAAAUAAGUUUCUUAUUUUAUAUUUAUUUAGUUUUAAUUGUUAAUUUAUAAUUUUUUUUAAUUUUUAAUUUUUAAAAUGAAUUAACAAAUAUUUUUUUUAAAUUAUUGUGUAUCUGAUGUUAUUUGAUGUAUUAUUGUAUAUAUUUAGAUGUAUUGUUUUUAAUAAUAAUUUUAUUACAAUUUUAGGUAGAGUUCUGCUGUUACACCUGCUAUUACUGUUGUAAGUACUUAAAAUUUCAGGAAGUUCUGUUGCUAGAUGCGACCAGAUGUUUUGCAGUUGUCCUAUGAUUAGAUCAAAAGAAUACACCAAAAGAGAUAUUGGAUCAAUAAUGAAAUUUAUGACAGUGAAAUGCAUCUUUUGAAUAUCUUAUUUCUUUUUUUUUUUAAUAGUAUAAAUUGAUUUAUUAAAAAUGUAAAUUUUAUGUUGUUUGCGAUGUAAAUAUUUUUUAA
Hydra vulgaris (swiftwater hydra) is the source of this 998-nucleotide long non-coding RNA. RefSeq lists it as uncharacterized. The record is from RefSeq and is a predicted model, not a curated record. NCBI's taxonomy places the organism in Eukaryota, Metazoa, Cnidaria, Hydrozoa, Anthoathecata, Hydridae.